Molecule: non-coding RNA, 24 nt
Filed under: Arabidopsis thaliana (thale cress)
Lineage: Eukaryota; Viridiplantae; Streptophyta; Magnoliopsida; Brassicales; Brassicaceae
Source: RNAcentral
CACAAGAUCUACGAAUAAUGCUGC